Molecule: ribosomal RNA, 483 nt
Filed under: uncultured bacterium
Lineage: Bacteria
Description: partial 16S ribosomal RNA
Rfam family: Bacterial small subunit ribosomal RNA
Source: RNAcentral
GACGAACGCUGGCGGCGUGCUUAACACAUGCAAGUCGAACGCUGAAGCUCAGCUUUUGUUGGGUGGAUGAGUGGCGAGCGGGUGAGUAACACGUGAGUAACCUGCCCCCUUCUUUGGGAUAACGCCCGGAAACGGGUGCUAAUACUGGAUAUUCACUGGUCUUCGCAUGGGGGUUGGUGGAAAGGGUUUUUCUGGUGGGGGAUGGGCUCGCGGCCUAUCAGCUUGUUGGUGGGGUGAUGGCCUACCAAGGCUUUGACGGGUAGCCGGCCUGAGAGGGUGACCGGUCAGAUUGGGACUGAGAUACGGCCCAGACUCCUACGGGAGGCAGCAGUGGGGAAGAAGGCACAAUGGGCGCAAGCCUGAUGCAGCGGCGCCGCGUGAGGGAUGGAGGCCUUCGGGUUGUGAACCUCUUUCGCUCAUGGUCAAGCCGCAACAAUGGUUGUGGUGAGGGUAGUGGGUAAAGAAGCGCCGGCUAACUACGUG